This 518-nucleotide ribosomal RNA is filed under the name uncultured bacterium. RNAcentral describes it as "bacterial SSU rRNA". It matches the Rfam family "Bacterial small subunit ribosomal RNA", at positions 28 to 523 of the family's 1533-position model. The record is from RNAcentral.
AACGAACGCUGGCGGCGUGCCCAACACAUGCAAGUCGAACGCGAAAGGGGGGCAACCCCCGGUAGCGUGGCAGACGGGUGAGUAACACGUGGGUAACCUACCCGGAGGUGGGGGAUAACCCUUCGAAAGGAGGGCUAAUACCGCAUGACACCGCGGGGACUUCGGUCCUUGCGAUCAAAGCUGGCCUCUGUUUACAAGCUAGCGCCACCGGAUGGGCCCGCGCCCCAUUAGCUAGUUGGUGAGGUAACGGCUCACCAAGGCGACGAUGGGUAGCCGGCCUGAGAGGGCGAUCGGCCACACUGGAACUGCGACACGGUCCAGACUCCUACGGGAGGCAGCAGUGAGGAAUCUUGCGCAAUGGGCGAAAGCCUGACGCAGCGACGCCGCGUGGAGGAUGAAGGUCUUCGGAUUGUAAACUCCUGUCGAGUGGGACGAAUGCCGCGAGGAUGAACAAUCCUCGUGGUUGACGGUACCGCUGGAGGAAGCCCCGGCUAACUCCGUGCCAGCCGCCGCGGUAA